UCAACCCGCGGACGGCACAUGAUACUGCGAGACUAGAGUAAUGGAGGGGGAACCGGAAUUCUCGGUGUAGCAGUGAAAUGCGUAGAUAUCGAGAGGAACACUCGUGGCGAAGGCGGGUUCCUGGACAUUAACUGACGCUGAGGCACGAAGGCCAGGGGAGCGAAAGGGAUUAGAUACCCCUGUAGUCCUGGCAGUAAACGGUGCACGCUUGGUGUGCGGGGAAUCGACCCCCUGCGUGCCGGAGCUAACGCGUUAAGCGUGCCGCCUGGGGAGUACGGUCGCAAGAUUAAAACUCAAAGAAAUUGACGGGGACCCGCACAAGCGGUGGAGUAUGUGGCUUAAUUCGAUGCAACGCGAAGAACCUUACCUGGGCUUGACAUGUAAUGAACAACAUGUGAAAGCAUGCGACUCUUCGGAGGCGUUACACAGGUGCUGCAUGGCCGUCGUCAGCUCGUGUCGUGAGAUGUUUGGUUAAGUCCAGCAACGAGCGCAACCCCUGUUGCCAGUUACCAGCACGUGAAGGUGGGGACUCUGGCGAGACUGCCCAGAUCAACUGGGAGGAAGGUGGGGACGACGUCAGGUCAGUAUGGCCCUUAUGCCCAGGGCUGCACACGUACUACAAUGCCCAGUACAGAGGGGGCCGAAGCCGCGAGGCGGAGGAAAUCCUAAAAACUGGGCCCAGUUCGGACUGUAGGCUGCAACCCGCCUACACGAAGCCGGAAUCGCUAGUAAUGGCGCAUCAGCUACGGCGCCGUGAAUACGUUCCCGGGUCUUGUACACACCGCCCGUCACAUCAUGGAAGCCGGUCGCACCCGAAGUAUCUGAAGCCAACCGCAAGGAGGCAGGGUCCUAAGGUGAGACUGGUAACUGGGAUGAAGUCGUAACAAGGUAGCCGUAGGGGAACCUGCGGCUG
This 913-nucleotide ribosomal RNA is filed under the name human gut metagenome. RNAcentral's name for it is "bacterial SSU rRNA". It matches the Rfam family "Bacterial small subunit ribosomal RNA", at positions 609 to 1520 of the family's 1533-position model. The record is from RNAcentral.